UGGGGAUAACCUUGCGAAAGUAAGACUAAUACCCAAUGAUAUCUCUAGAAGACAUCUGAAAGAGAUUAAAGAUUUAUCGGUGAUGGAUGGGGAUGCGUCUGAUUAGCUUGUUGGCGGGGUAACGGCCCACCAAGGCGACGAUCAGUAGGGGUUCUGAGAGGAAGGUCCCCCACAUUGGAACUGAGACACGGUCCAAACUCCUACGGGAGGCAGCAGUGAGGAAUAUUGGUCAAUGGGCGAGAGCCUGAACCAGCCAAGUAGCGUGCAGGAUGACGGCCCUAUGGGUUGUAAACUGCUUUUAUAAGGGAAUAAAGUGAGUCUCGUGAGGCUUUUUGCAUGUACCUUAUGAAUAAGGACCGGCUAAUUCCGUGCCAGCAGCCGCGGUAAUACGGAAGGUCCGGGCGUUAUCCGGAUUUAUUGGGUUUAAAGGGAGCGUAGGCCGGAGAUUAAGCGUGUUGUGAAAUGUAGACGCUCAACGUCUGCACUGCAGCGCGAACUGGUUUCCUUGAGUACGCACAAAGUGGGCGGAAUUCGUGGUGUAGCGGUGAAAUGCUUAGAUAUCACGAAGAACUCCGAUUGCGAAGGCAGCUCACUGGAGCGCAACUGACGCUGAAGCUCGAAAGUGCGGGUAUCGAACAGGAUUAGAUACCCUGGUAGUCCGCACGGUAAACGAUGGAUGCCCGCUGUUGGUCUGAAUAGGUCAGCGGCCAAGCGAAAGCAUUAAGCAUCCCACCUGGGGAGUAC
RNAcentral lists this ribosomal RNA (744 nucleotides) under uncultured bacterium. RNAcentral describes it as "bacterial SSU rRNA". It matches the Rfam family "Bacterial small subunit ribosomal RNA", at positions 138 to 883 of the family's 1533-position model. The record is from RNAcentral.